GAUGAACGCUGGCGGCGUGCCUAGUACAUGCAGGUCGAGCGAACGGACGAGAAGCUUGCUUCUCUGAUGUUAGCGGCGGACGGGUGAGUAACACGUGGAUAACCUACCUAUAAGACUGGGAUAACUUCGGGAAACCGGAGCUAAUACCGGAUAAUAUUUUGAACCGCAUGGUUCAAAAGUGAAAGACGGUCUUGCUGUCACUUAUAGAUGGAUCCGCGCUGCAUUAGCUAGUUGGUAAGGUAACGGCUUACCAAGGCAACGAUGCAUAGCCGACCUGAGAGGGUGAUCGGCCACACUGGAACUGAGACACGGUCCAGACUCCUACGGGAGGCAGCAGUAGGGAAUCUUCCGCAAUGGGCGAAAGCCUGACGGAGCAACGCCGCGUGAGUGAUGAAGGUCUUCGGAUCGUAAAACUCUGUUAUUAGGGAAGAACAUAUGUGUAAGUAACUGUGCACAUCUUGACGGUACCUAAUCAGAAAGCCACGGCUAACUACGUG
Molecule: ribosomal RNA, 497 nt
Filed under: uncultured bacterium
Lineage: Bacteria
Description: partial 16S ribosomal RNA
Rfam family: Bacterial small subunit ribosomal RNA
Source: RNAcentral